GUCCACGCCGUAAACGAUGAACGCUAGCCGUUGGAUAGCUUGCUAUUCAGUGGCGCAGCUAACGCAAUAAGCGUUCCGCCUGGGGAGUACGGCCGCAAGGUUGAAACUCAAAGGAAUUGACGGGGGCCCGCACAAGCGGUGGAGCAUGUGGUUUAAUUCGACGCAACGCGCAGAACCUUACCAGGGUUUGACAUCCUGAGACCGCCCCUUAAUGGGGGUUUUCCCGCAAGGGACUCAGAGACAGGUGCUGCAUGGCUGUCGU
RNAcentral lists this ribosomal RNA (262 nucleotides) under uncultured bacterium. Its description in RNAcentral is "partial 16S ribosomal RNA". It matches the Rfam family "Bacterial small subunit ribosomal RNA", at positions 793 to 1055 of the family's 1533-position model. The record is from RNAcentral.